Long non-coding RNA from Cyprinus carpio (common carp), 463 nucleotides. RefSeq lists it as uncharacterized. Lineage: Eukaryota; Metazoa; Chordata; Actinopteri; Cypriniformes; Cyprinidae. The transcript is spliced from 4 exons. The record is from RefSeq and is a predicted model, not a curated record.
GCUGUGCUAGCCAAAAGCAGUACAGAGACUAAGAACUAACAGACAUAUCCUCUCUUGUUUGCAGACAGGUCACUUUGAAGCUCCCGAGUGGGGAGACAGAAGAAACAGAGAGAAACUACUUCUGAAGUUGUUGACCCAGUGACACCUGCUUCCACCUUUUAUGGCAAUAUAAUUACAUUAAAUAGAUGGAAAUGGUGACUAUUCUAGAGGUAUCUGUGCUUUCAACAACCCUGCUGAAUUUGAACACCAAAUACAAAAAAGGAGUCAAAGGUAUCUUAAUAAAAUGAAUCGGGAAUCUUGGCUCAGUUCUACAACAAUCUAGUCACCACCAGUGCCAGUGAUGUUGCUUCAAUGCUCCAAGCAGUAGCCUACUACUAAGUUUUAAAACAAUUUUAGAAACAUGUAUUAUGAGUUUCCUUUAUGCUAAAUAAAGGGCAACAAAUCAUUACCAAUAAAUGAUGCC